GAUUGAACGCUGGCGGCAGGCCUAACACAUGCAAGUCGAGCGGUAGCACAGAGAGCUUGCUCUCGGGUGACGAGCGGCGGACGGGUGAGUAAUGUCUGGGAAACUGCCUGAUGGAGGGGGAUAACUACUGGAAACGGUAGCUAAUACCGCAUAAUGUCGUAAGACCAAAGUGGGGGACCUUCGGGCCUCAUGCCAUCAGAUGUGCCCAGAUGGGAUUAGCUAGUAGGUGGGGUAACGGCUCACCUAGGCGACGAUCCCUAGCUGGUCUGAGAGGAUGACCAGCCACACUGGAACUGAGACACGGUCCAGACUCCUACAGGAGGCAGCAGUGGGGAAUAUUGCACAAUGGGCGCAAGCCUGAUGCAGCCAUGCCGCGUGUGUGAAGAAGGCCUUCGGGUUGUAAAGCACUUUCAGCGGGGAGGAAGGCGUUAAGGUUAAUAACCUUGGCGAUUGACGUUACCCUCAGAAGAAGCACCGGCUAACUCCGUGCCAGCAGCCGCGGUAAUACGGAGGGUGCAAGCGUUAAUCGGAAUUACUGGGCGUAAAGCGCACGCAGGCGGUCUGUCAAGUCGGAUGUGAAAUCCCCGGGCUCAACCUGGGAACUGCAUUCGAAACUGGCAGGCUAGAGUCUUGUAGAGGGGGGUAGAAUUCCAGGUGUAGCGGUGAAAUGCGUAGAGAUCUGGAGGAAUACCGGUGGCGAAGGCGGCCCCCUGGACAAAGACUGACGCUCAGGUGCGAAAGCGUGGGGAGCAAACAGGAUUAGAUACCCUGGUAGUCCACGCCGUAAACGAUGUCGAUUUGGAGGUUGUGCCCUUGAGGCGUGGCUUCCGGAGCUAACGCGUUAAAUCGACCGCCUGGGGAGUACGGCCGCAAGGUUAAAACUCAAAUGAAUUGACGGGGGCCCGCACAAGCGGUGGAGCAUGUGGUUUAAUUCGAUGCAACGCGAAGAACCUUACCUGGUCUUGACAUCCACAGAACUUUCCAGAGAUGGAUUGGUGCCUUCGGGAACUGUGAGACAGGUGCUGCAUGGCUGUCGUCAGCUCGUGUUGUGAAAUGUUGGGUUAAGUCCCGCAACGAGCGCAACCCUUAUCCUUUGUUGCCAGCGGUCCGGCCGGGAACUCAAAGGAGACUGCCAGUGAUAAACUGGAGGAAGGUGGGGAUGACGUCAAGUCAUCAUGGCCCUUACGACCAGGGCUACACACGUGCUACAAUGGCAUAUACAAAGAGAAGCGACCUCGCGAGAGCAAGCGGACCUCAUAAAGUAUGUCGUAGUCCGGAUUGGAGUCUGCAACUCGACUCCAUGAAGUCGGAAUCGCUAGUAAUCGUAGAUCAGAAUGCUACGGUGAAUACGUUCCCGGGCCUUG
This 1364-nucleotide ribosomal RNA is filed under the name uncultured Klebsiella sp. RNAcentral describes it as "bacterial SSU rRNA". It matches the Rfam family "Bacterial small subunit ribosomal RNA", at positions 27 to 1383 of the family's 1533-position model. The record is from RNAcentral. Lineage: Bacteria; Pseudomonadati; Pseudomonadota; Gammaproteobacteria; Enterobacterales; Enterobacteriaceae.